UAAUAAUUGGAGCAGAUAUAGCGUAUUAUGGUAAUUCCCAAAAUUAAUUAUAAUGGGCGCUACUUUUUGCCGCCAUUGAAGAUUCCACACUAAUCCCUAAACACAAAAAUCCCAAAUCACAAGUUAGCAGUGAGAUAGUCGAUUAUCUGGAAUGCCUUAAACAUUCCUUGUACAUCGAAGAACCACCAACAACUUCACAACUGAUCAUCCGCAACGUCAAAGGUAUUUGUUAGGGCAGGAGAUCACAAUUUCGAAAAAAGGUAUUGUGAUAUUGAGAUUGGUGACUUGCGUGAUAUUGAGAUAUGUGAACCAGGAGAUGCUAAGGGAUAUGGUGUUUUGCUGCAAUAGAGUAUUCUUAGCCUUUUCGAUGUUUGGUUUUUUUAAUGCCUUUGUUCUUUUUAUGACCGAACUUGGAAAUGUAGAGGUACUUGUAUGUGUUCGGAAUGAUUUUGAGAAAAUGGACUUGAGUUUGAUAAAGAUGAUGAGAAAAGCUCUACUACUAGCAAAUUGGUCUCUUCAACAAGUUUGCAUGUAUAAAAGAGAUUUGAGAAAAAAAGUAUUUUCUCAGUGAGGUUCUUGUCCAGGAUAAGAUGGCAGCUUUUGAGAAAUAUGGACAAAUAAGGAUAUCGAAAAAUCGAUUGAAGUUGCAAGAGAUAGGAGUUAAGUCUAUGGCUUAUGAAAUUAGUCAAUCAAUGAAGGGAAAAAGGGACAUGCAACAAUAAGAAAAAAUAUCAAAAGCCGGAUAACGAUGAUGAGUACACACCUACUGAAGAUUGUGAACAGUUAUUGAUCCACUCUAGUGAAGAGGAUGACAACGAUAAAAGGGAAGAGUGCAUAACAUUGAGGUCUCAAUGUAAAAAGGUGGUACUUAAUUUGUGAAUUAUAAUUUUUAACUAACUUGGUACAUUCUUGAAAUAAUAUGGUUUUCUAUUUUACAAUUUUUAGCCCAACAUAUAAGUCCUGCAAUGCUCAAAGACAAUGCAAGUGACUCUCAAAUAGGAAUGGAAAGUCUAAUGAAAAGGUGCCAUCCAACCUCGAAAAAUGAAUAUAUAAAGGAGGAAUCACAAGGGAAAUUUACAACACGGAGUAGAAAGCGACCUCAAUAGGAUUCAAUGAAAACCACACAAUAAUAAAGGGUCUCAAUGCUAUCUAAUCAAAGUCAAAGGUCGUCUAGUUUGGAAAAUCUUCCGUUGAACAUAAGCAAUUCUAUUGUGCAGAGGGUGUUGUAUUCAAGGUUUUAAUGAUGACAAAUAAUGAUUGAGUCUAGGAAAAUAAGUUGAGUCUAGAAAAUUAAUUGUGUAACUUAGAAUUAAUUUUCAUAUUAUCUUGAGAAUAAUUUAUUUAAUUAUAACUUGUGGAGAGAUGGUUAUGAGUUUAACCUAGUCAACUUAUUUAAAUAAAUUAAUUCCUAUUCUCGAAAUGUUAUGUGUUAUGAAUUGCUUUGAAUCAACGAAAUAGGAAUAUUAUUUUGAAUAACAUAAUUUCCAUGAUAUUUGUUGGAGUAUGUCUUUCUUCUUAUUUUAUAGGUUGAAAGAAUUAAAUUGACGAAGACAUGCAAUAACAAACCGGGCUAUAAUGAAGGAAACACACAUCAGAUUGCAGUUCCUAGAAUUCAGGAGAUUGGAAACUCACUAACCAGUCAGCUCCUAGAAUCUAGGAGACUGGAAACUAUUUGACCAGUCAGUUCCUAGAAUCCAGGAAAUCUAACAAACUUCCAAAUAUUCAGCCUCAACAACAAACAUCACGCUGAAUAUGGAAGUAAUGGCUGAUUGUACGUGGAUUUUGAUUGUGGAGUUAGUUGGAGAAGAUCGUGGAUAAUGUGGCUCCAACAACGGUUAGAUCAUGGGUCACUUCUAACACCCAUGACUGCUUAGUGGAAAAAAAUUAGGAGCUGCUGAUCUUCUAUAUAUAGCUCAACAAUGAACCAGAAUAAACUUAACACUUACCAGAUUUAUUGUAAUAUUUUAUAAGGAAGUAUAUUUCGGUUUAUUACUGUUCAAGCAAUUAUAUUUGUAAUAUUCUUAGAGUGUAGGUUGAGAGAAAUCAAAUCUUGUAUUCGAGAGUGAGAAAAGAGAAAGAGAAAAAUAAGAGAGAAAGAGAAGACUUCUAGUGAAGUCAGGUGAGGAAAGUCACGUGUUCAUGGGGAACAAGGUGACUGGGAAUUGGUUCCUAGAGGAACUGAGUGAGGACUGGUUUUUAAUAAGUUGUAAUAACUUUUAUAAAUAA
Long non-coding RNA from Beta vulgaris subsp. vulgaris (sugar beet), 2226 nucleotides. RefSeq lists it as uncharacterized. NCBI's taxonomy places the organism in Eukaryota, Viridiplantae, Streptophyta, Magnoliopsida, Caryophyllales, Amaranthaceae. The transcript has 4 exons. The record is from RefSeq and is a predicted model, not a curated record.